AUUGAACGCUGGCGGCAUGCCUAACACAUGCAAGUCGAGCGGAUGAAGGGAGCUUGCUCCUGGCUUCAGCGGCGGACGGGUGAGUGAUGCCUAGGAAGCUACCUGGUCUAUGGGGCUAACGUCCGGAAACGGGCGCUAAUACCGCAUACGUCCAGAGGGAGAAAGGGGGGGAUCUUCGGAGCUCGCGCUAUCUGAUGACACUAGGUCGGAUUAGCUAGUUGGUUGGGUAAAGGCCUACCAAGGCGACGAUCCGUAACUGGUCUGAGAGGAUGAUCAGUCACACUGGAACUGAGACACGGUCCAGACUCCUACGGGAGGCAGCAGUGGGGAAUAUUGGACAAUGGGCGAAAGCCUGAUCCAGCCAUGCCGCGUGUGUGAUGAAGGUCUUCGGAUUGUAAAGCACUGUUAGUUGGGAAGAAGGGCAGUAAGUGAAUAUCUGCCUGUCUUGACGUUACCAACAGAAUAAGCACCGGCUAACUUCGUG
This 484-nucleotide ribosomal RNA is filed under the name uncultured bacterium. Its description in RNAcentral is "partial 16S ribosomal RNA". It matches the Rfam family "Bacterial small subunit ribosomal RNA", at positions 30 to 507 of the family's 1533-position model. The record is from RNAcentral.